RNAcentral lists this long non-coding RNA (325 nucleotides) under Lathyrus oleraceus (garden pea). Its description in RNAcentral is "Pisum sativum (pea) long non-coding RNA (PSAT_LNC005296)". Lineage: Eukaryota; Viridiplantae; Streptophyta; Magnoliopsida; Fabales; Fabaceae. The record is from RNAcentral.
ACUUGGUUCCUCAGAUUGGGUUCAGAUGACAGUUUAUCAGAUGACUUUGGGUUUCAGAUGAAUUGUGGUUCCGAGUUCGAGCCGAAGCUUUGAUCCUGUGUUCCGAGAUGCACAACCUGCCAGUCUUGUCUGCAUCAUGUGCAUCAUAGCAUGUUUAUUUUCAAAAGAAAUGCAAUAAAAAAGAAUCAAAUGAAAAAAAUAAGAAAAAGAAAAAGCUAAUCCCUGCAUGCAUAUCAUUUCUCAGGUACAUUCCAGAGUCUAUUCACUGAUAGAGAUGGCAACAGUCCCAGAGCCGAAGCGGAAGACUUGUUCCUAUAGCUUUCAC